Long non-coding RNA from Myotis myotis, 6404 nucleotides. RefSeq lists it as uncharacterized. The transcript is spliced from 6 exons. The record is from RefSeq and is a predicted model, not a curated record. NCBI's taxonomy places the organism in Eukaryota, Metazoa, Chordata, Mammalia, Chiroptera, Vespertilionidae.
UGUCACUGCGGCCGGCGCCGGCGGCCCUCGGGAGAACGCCCCUCGGCAGGUCCCGGCCCCAAACAACAGCGCCGGAGCCGCCGAUCCGCCCACUUCCGCCCGCCGCCGGCCCCGGCCCUUUUAUAACCUCGCCGCCGCCGAGCGCGUGCGUCCUUCCGGCGCGGCGCUCCCAGGACGCUUUGCGGCGCGCGAGCUGCGGCGACGCGGAGACGCCGGCGGCGGCGGCGGGCGCUCCCUGGGGGCGGGGCGCGGGGGGCGGAGCGCGGGGAGACGGGCCGCCCGCGGGUCCAGGCGCCGCGACCGGGGCACGGCCGAGCGUCCGGCCGGCUUUGUGACGCCGCGGGCUCCGCCGCCCUCCCCGCGGGCCGCCUCGGCGCCGGGUUCCCGCAGCGGCCGGGCCGGGCCCAGCCCUCCUCGGCCGUGCGCUCUGCCCGAGACGCGGGUUUUGAGCGGAGCCAACCCCAAAGCCCGCCUCCAUCUCUUUUUCUGUUUUAACGUCAAUCCCUCCUCGUUUAAAGUAUUGCACAGGUCUCCUUCCCCCAUGCGUCUCCGGGCGGAGGGUGAUGACACCGCCUCCCUCUUCUGGUCCCGCCGGCUGCGCUCCGGGCGCUGCUUCCGAGGGAGACCGGCCACGCGCUCCGAGGCCUCCCGGGCGGCGCGUUCGGAGCGUGGAGUCCGCGGGAAGGAACAGUCAUGGCUGAGAUGAUGCGGCUCAACGCUCGGCCCCGCUCCGGGCGGCCCUGCGGGCCCGUCUGCAACCGUCCUCGGCGCGCGGGGUCGCGUUCAUGGUCCCCGCAGUCCGCCCGCGACCCCCGCUGCCCCCCGGGGGUGGAUCCCCGGUGCCACCCCGCCCCCCCGUGGAUCCCCGCUGCCCCCCUGGGUGGAUCCCCGCUGCCCCCCGGGGGUGGACCUGGUCGAACCCCGCCGCGCCGAGGACAGGACGUCCUGCACGUUUCCUGAAACAGUGACGCCCGCGGCGCGGCAGCUGGGCGGCGGCGUGGGAAAGGGCCUGUGUACUGUCCCCGCUUAGCGCUGACUGCCGCUCGGUGACUGUAUGUUUCCGAUUUCAGGUGUAGGUAUACUUUAAGGUUAAUAAUAAGCUACAGUAGGUGCUAUGUAAUAAUCUUAAAUUACGGAAUGAAACAUUUCCUUUUACUAAAUGUGGGUUUUGAAAAGUGCUUGAAUUAGAAUAAGCAAGAAAAAAAUGGUCACUUAGGUAACAAUUUCUAAAAGCCAUGUGAUGUAUACAGGGUGGGGCAAAAGUAGUUUCCAGUUGCUUAUAUGGCAAAUAAUACAGUCAUUAAGAAUACAUGUAUACAAGAAUAAACUUUCGAGUAGACCUUUGCCCACCCUGUAUACAUGCUGGAAUAAUAAAAAUUCAACUACAGUAUGAUGUGACAAUCAUAUUGCCCACUUUGCUGCUGUGCCAAAAGAAACGGCAUAGGAACAGGCAAAACAAACAUUUUUAAUUUGGGAUUUUGCUUCAGUUUUUGCUCUUCUUUUUCAGGGAAAAUUGCUGAGACUUUGGAGGGGUGAAAGGAUGAGGAAACCCUUUAACUUCAGAUGCAAUUUAAGAUGGAAAAUAUUAUGGUCUUCCAUGAAUUCUUAGGCAGGGGGGAGAUCAGAGUUACUUGGGUUUGGUAACAAUUGCCUUGGAACUAUGAGCAGCAGAGGACCUAGAAGUAUUCGUGGAGAGAGCUGGGAAGCCAGGAUGACAUGGAGGAGAGCACGUCAGCUCUCCCUGUAGCAGGCCGUCUUCCUCUGGGCAGUGACCUCAGUAACCUCAGAUGCGGAUGCGCUUCCCUGGGAGCGGUCGCAUUCCUGCCUAUAGAACCCGCGCACGGACAGGUCAGUUCCCGGGUCAGCGGGACUCGCAUCCCUUCGCGCUGGCUGGCUGGGAACCCAGGGAGGUGCUGAGGGCCCCGGGCUUUAGUUCCUUAUCAGCUCCAUCAACCUGUUAUACUCCACUCGGCCGCCUCUGAGGACUCAUGACUGCCUCUGUGGCAGCGAGUGUGAUGGGCCAAACAGCAGGUGCAGGACACCAGGCCAGAGGCGCCCCCUGAGGCACAGGCUGGCCUCAUCGCUCCUGGCCUUCCUCACGGCUGCGUUCAGCUGGGCAGAGGCAGGGGAAGAGCGAAGCCUUCCUAGGGGCCUGCACUCAAGUCUGCUGCCCGGUCCUGAGGCCCCCCCACCACCACCCCAGGAGUCAGUGAAGCCUCAAGCCUGCUCCUGGGGCCGGGCCCCAGAGCCCUUUGUCCCAGGCCCGGGGAGUCCCCUUCUGCCUGCCCUCCCGCCCAGACAGGGCGCCUUUUCUCUCCUGCUCCUCGGGAACCGGGGGGCAGCCUCACUCUGGGGCUCAGGGCACGGGUAAGAGGCUCCGGCCGGAAUCGCAGGGCAAUUCUCAGGUCAGGCCCUCAAUACCCUUUCCGACGCCCUUGAGACAGUCCCCUCGGGGCUGCUGUGACUGCCCGCAGGAGAAGGCUUUGAUGGAAAGGGACCUACUGGUCGCAGCAUCUAGUGACAAGGAAUAGAGCCAGAAAGGGCAGAGCUCUCUCUUCCGCAGGAAUUUGGAGAGAUGGGGCCAGAGCGCCCUGGGCUUCCUUUCUCCGAGGCUGCAGGGUCCUAGGCGGAAGUUCGCUGGUGAAGGUGGGGUCUCCUCGGGACUGGGAGGGUCCUAAAGGGGUUGGCUUUAUGUGGUCUUGUUACUCACCCCAACCUGCAUAAUAAUAACAAAAACGACAUUUUAAAACAUGCCUUUUGUGUGAUCCCAUUUUAUCUUUAAAAGAAUCUAUAAAUACGUAUGUGUUUGCAUGUGUUUUAAAGAAUUAACGGAAAGAGAUGCAGAAAUUGUUCGCAGCAAUUACAUUGGGGUAGGAGGUGUAUUCCGACAUUGUGGGGUGGGAGGCAAAGACUAUCACUUUAGGCAUUUCAAUAGCCACAGAAUUUUCCAAGGCGCACGUGUCCCUUUUGUCAGAAAAUCUGUAUUUUUUCACGUCCUUGGUCUACCUCCCCUCACCUCCCGCCCCGGUGGGAAGAGCUGGGCGCUCGGCGGUCCCUGGGCCACAUCUCCGAGGGCAGGUCCCCCGCAGCGUGCAGACCCUUCCACCGCCAUAAAGUGUCCAAGUUGCGAGUCUGCUGUGUGCCCCACUCUCUGUCUCCAACAUGGUAGGAUUUGUGCUUUUUUAUGACUUGUCACAGUUUCAGUGGCAUUGCCGCCAGGGGAAGAAUAUAGUCACAAAGGCCUGCAGAUCUGUGUGCACAGCACGUCCCUGAUAAGGGCUGACCACCCAGCGUCUGAGUUAUGUCUCGGAGAGCUCACCUGUGCCCCGGGCGGGCGCGGAGGGGCUGGGUGGUGGCACGGAGUCCCUGGCUUCAGAGGCUGGGCUGUGAGACCUUCGGAGACUCAAGUAGCUCAUACACUCGGGGCCCACUGGGCCUGGGGCAGUCGGCAGAUGUGACUGAGAAUAUUGCCAGGAGGGGGAACAUGUCCCCGAAGCUCUUUCAGACAUUUCCACCUGCCUAUCCGUGUGGAAUGAGAGGGAAGUGAUCAAGUCUGUAGCUCCCAGGCCCUCCUGGCUGUGGCAGGUUUGGCGCAGACGCGAAAGAAAGUGCUGACGGGGCCCUUUGCCAGCAAAGGGUUGCUAAAUAGCAGCCCUGUGUUUAUCUGGCUCCUCUGAUCUCAGGAUUUCAGACAAACACCGAGCAGCAGGUCAGACUGUGCCUUACCUUCCAGAUGGGAAGUUGGAGGCUCAGUCAACAGCAAUAGAGCCGCGAUGUGAUCGAGGUCAAGUGCUGGGAGCGAGGAGGGAGGUCGCAGACGGGUCGGCGAAGUGUGUGGAAGCCGCCUGCGGAUGCUCUCCGUGACAUUCCUGGGCCACGGGGGGUCUGAGUCAGCGAGUCUGGGCGUGGGCCCUGGGUCUGGGCUUUAAACUGGACUUGCAGGUGGUGUGUGCAUCGCACUGUGAGAAACACUGGUCCAGGGAGAGGCAGAGGCCAUGCAUUCUGUCUGAGGCGUGGCCCCUGCGUGACCCAGAAGGACAGCUUCACCCAUGUUAUCCAGGAACGAAAGGCAUAGAAUUUACUCCACAAAGCUCUGUCUUCAGGGGGGAGAGGCUACUGUCAGACGACACACUGGAAUGGCUGAGGCUAGCUUCAUGCUUAUGACCGAGGCAAAGCGCUUCUCCUGCGUGGGAGGCUGUCCCCUGCAGGUCUGUUCUCACACAUUCCCGUGGCUGCUCCCUCCCUCCGGCACCCGGGGCCUGGUCAUGGCUGUAAAUGGCUCCGAACGCAGGUGCAGGGCUGUGCUCACCUCCGCCAGCUGCUGGUGGUGCCAGCUAAGCCCCUGCAUCCAUCCGGCUAGUCUCUGCCUCCAUCUUCCCACGCCACCCCCCCCCCCCCCCCCCCGUCUGUUGCAAGUCUCCGCCUUUUAUUCCUGCAACUGCACGACUACUAUGGCCGUUUAAACAACAUACGUUGUAAUAUGUGAUAUUACAAGUCUCUACUCUCAUUUCUCACAUAUGUCUUCCAACUUGAGAGUCUAGGGUGUGAGUCUCACUUUCGUCAAGGCCCGUUCCUGCCACCAGCAGCCACCACGACCCGGACCUCAUCUGAGACGUCCAGUACGAGUCAGUACAACGAAAGGUGCCCCAAAAUUCACGCAAGAGCAUCCAUCAGAUCUGGGGAACGUGGAAAUGAAUCUGGGAAGAACUGCUAGGGAAGACUCAGAACACUUUGGCAUGCCUUUUUAUUUGGCGUAGAUCUGCAUGUAUGUUUCCGCCUUCUCCCCCUGCCCCCGUGGACAGGCGUAGGGAGGGGGUCAAGAAGCCGGUGCUCACCCCAGUCAAGGAGCUCUGCAACCCCAUCAUCCCCCUGGAUCAAGGACUAAAGGGGUUCAUUCCCGGCACACAUCGAAGUCCAGUCAAAUGGAAACAGGAGUUUGCAGCCAAGAAAUAAGUGUUUAUUGUUGAGGAGAUGGUGCCCACCCAGACUCACAGGUGAGCUCGUGCUCAGAGGCCUGGCUCCCCGACGGCGUCCAGGGGAGGGCUGUACAGAAGGGGAGUCACUCAUCGGGGUGGCUGAAGGAGGUGGGGUCGUGGGCUCUACUGACGGGUGGGGCCAGGGCAGCUGACCACUGCAGCAGGUCCUGAGGUCAGCCAUGGCGUUGUGCUGUCUGGUUUCGUGAGGGGGUGGUCCCUAGGGUCUUUUCGCUCUCAUGGGCCUGGGGCGGACACAACGGAAGUCCAGAUGCCACCUGUAGCUUGACGGAAACUCUGCGUGGCCAACACUCCUGAGGCUUUGUCCUUAAGACAGUGUGAUGCUGACCAGAACCCGAUGUCCGAAGGGCUUGAUGAUUAAGGAAGGGGGUGGAUGGGCAGAAAGGAGGCAGGGUCACAGCAACGAAAUGGCGCUUCUGCGAGGUUACAGUGAUAUUGGCCUCGAGGGACAGACUGGGAAGCUUGCUCUCUCUGUGCUCUGGCGCGAUCCUGAAGAUACACUAUUAGGAACAGCCUCCUGAUCCGGGUUCAGCGAGUUUGUGCAAAAACAGCACCGAAAAGGAGCAACUAGAAAUACUGCUUGGGCGUGGUCUCCUGGCCCGGCAGCCGACCCCUGUCUCCAGAUGUUCACCAAACGAAACAGAUGUGUCUGCACCCACCCAGCUGGCGCAGGAGGGUAAACCCACGGGCUGCCUGCUCGCUUGUCAGAAUUUUGCAGAAUCCUCCCGUGUACGUCCAAGCCAUGCCCCCCACGCUGUCUCUCUCAGGACCACACUCCGAAGGCAGAGGAACCUGAGGGACGACGGCGACCAGGCCUCCCAGGCCUUCGAAUGGCUGCGUUUGCCGCGGUUGGGGGAGUGAGGGAGCGAGGGAGACUCGGACCCGAGGCAGGGGCCUCUGUGCGUGGAGGGCAGGUUGUAUUGUGCAAUGCGGAGUUUCAUUGUUGCUGUAAAACGAAUGUUCCCAGCGUGUCUGGAAGUAAAAAGGGCUGUAAGAUGCAAGGCAAUUAGACUGUGAAUCUCGCUGCCCUGAUCUUCGCAGACGAGGCGGUUUCAUCUGAGAGCUUUUGUCACCAGCAGGUUGAUCACCAGCCGGUUGUGAGGCGGCUGUAGGCACUGGCUCCACGGUGAACGGGGCUCCAGAGUAAUAAAAACCUCUCCCUGCUUUACAGCCGCACCUGCGCCCAUGGAUCCACGGGAGACCAGGCGCUGUGCGGGCGACGAGAAUGGAUGGAGGAGGAAUAAGAGGCCCAAUGACUGGUGACAGCCUCGCCAGUCUCUUCGUCUAGAGCAGUGGUUCUCAACCUUCCUAAUGCGGCGACCCUCUAAUCCAGUUCCUCAUGUUGUGGUGACCCCCAAUAUCAUUGUUACAAACUGAACAUAAUUAAAGCAUAGUGAUUCAUCACAGAAA